CUGGUGCCAGCAGCCGCGGUAAUUCCAGCUCCAAUAGCGUAUAUUAAAGUUGUUGCAGUUAAAAAGCUCGUAGUUGAAUUUCGGGACUAAUAUGUUGGUCGUGCCUCGGUACGUACUGAUAUUUUUGGUUUCUCCCUUCUGACGAACCUUGAUGUCAUUAAUUUGGUGUCUUGGGAAAUCAGGACUGUUACUUUGAAAAAAUUAGAGUGUUUAAAGCAGGCUCACGCUUGAAUACAUUAGCAUGGAAUAAUGAAAUAGGACGUUUGAUUCUAUUUUGUUAGGUUUCUAGGAUCGACGUAAUGAUUAAUAGGGAUAGUUGGGGGCAUUAGUAUUCAAUUGUCAGAGGUGAAAUUCUUGGAUUUAUUGAAGACUAAACUACUGCGAAAGCAUUUGCCAAGGAUGUUUUCAUUAAUCAAGAACGAAAGUUAGGGGGAUCGAAGACGAUCAGAUACCGUCGUAGUCUUAACCAUAAACUAUGCCGACUAGGGAUCGGAUGAUGUUAAUUUUUUAAUGACUCAUUCGGCGCCUUACG
This 532-nucleotide ribosomal RNA is filed under the name uncultured Glomus. Its description in RNAcentral is "SSU rRNA". It matches the Rfam family "Eukaryotic small subunit ribosomal RNA", at positions 561 to 1092 of the family's 1831-position model. The record is from RNAcentral. Lineage: Eukaryota; Fungi; Glomeromycota; Glomeromycetes; Glomerales; Glomeraceae.